This 465-nucleotide ribosomal RNA is filed under the name uncultured bacterium. Its description in RNAcentral is "partial 16S ribosomal RNA". It matches the Rfam family "Bacterial small subunit ribosomal RNA", at positions 338 to 795 of the family's 1533-position model. The record is from RNAcentral.
CCUACGGGGGGCAGCAGUGGGGAAUAUUGCGCAAUGGGCGAAAGCCUGACGCAGCGACGCCGCGUGAGGGAUGAAGGUCUUCGGAUCGUAAACCUCUGUCAGCAGGGAAGAACGGUCACUGUGCUAAUCAGCAGUGAAUUGACGGUACCUGCAAAGGAAGCACCGGCUAACUCCGUGCCAGCAGCCGCGGUAAUACGGAGGGUGCGAGCGUUAAUCGGAAUUACUGGGCGUAAAGCGCGCGUAGGCGGUAUGUCAAGUCAAGGGUGAAAUCCCCGCGCUCAACGUGGGAACUGCCUUUGAAACUGGCAAACUGGAGUGUGUGAGAGGAUGGUGGAAUUCCGGGUGUAGGAGUGAAAUCCGUAGAUAUCUGGAGGAACAUCAGUGGCGAAGGCGACUAGCUGGAACAUAACUGACGCUGAGGAGCGAAAGCGUGGGUAGCAAACAGGAUUAGAUACCCCUGUAGUC